RNAcentral lists this long non-coding RNA (313 nucleotides) under Piliocolobus tephrosceles (Ugandan red Colobus). RNAcentral describes it as "lncRNA (ENSPTEG00000038980.1)". Lineage: Eukaryota; Metazoa; Chordata; Mammalia; Primates; Cercopithecidae. The record is from RNAcentral.
CAGCUGCAGUGGUCCCGAUCACGUCGUGGGGGCAAGUAAUAGGAUUCUAUCCAUCAGUGGCUCACCCACGUCUCCUGCAACCCCUUCCACCCUCGCGAAGGGCGCCCCCAGGUCCCCCUCAUCCUUCCUGACCGAGUUCUUCACCUCUUCGAGGAGCCUUCCCUCCCUACCCCCGGGCCUGUCUUCCCCGAAACUCUGACUCUGGAGUAAGGUUUGGUGGACAGAGCUCUGUUGCCUCCUCAGGCCCAUUGUGACUUAGGAUCUGUUUUCUUGCCCAUCAUCUUCCAGAGCUGGGCUGGGCACACAACACGAG